Molecule: ribosomal RNA, 520 nt
Filed under: uncultured Nostocales cyanobacterium
Lineage: Bacteria; Bacillati; Cyanobacteriota; Cyanophyceae; Nostocales
Description: bacterial SSU rRNA
Rfam family: Bacterial small subunit ribosomal RNA
Source: RNAcentral
CUGGCUCAGGAUGAACGCUGGCGGCGUGCUUAACACAUGCAAGUCGAACGGUCUCUUCGGAGAUAGUGGCGGACGGGUGAGUAACGCGUGAGAAUCUGCCUUUAGGUUCGGGACAACAGUUGGAAACGACUGCUAAUACCGAAUGUGUCGCAAGAUGAAAGAUUUAUUGCCUAAAGAUGAGCUCGCGUCUGAUUAGCUAGUUGGUGGGGUAAAAGCGUACCAAGGCGACGAUCAGUAGCUGGUCUGAGAGGAUGAUCAGCCACACUGGGACUGAGACACGGCCCAGACUCCUACGGGAGGCAGCAGUGGGGAAUUUUCCGCAAUGGGCGAAAGCCUGACGGAGCAACGCCGCGUGAGGGAGGAAGGCUUUUGGGUUGUAAACCUCUUUUCUCAAGGAAGAUAAUGACGGUACUUGAGGAAUCAGCAUCGGCUAACUCCGUGCCAGCAGCCGCGGUAAUACGGAGGAUGCAAGCGUUAUCCGGAAUAAUUGGGCGUAAAGCGUUCGUAGGUGGUUUUGGCA